GGAUUCCAAGCCCAGAUUUCAUCAUAAUAAAGAAUGUUUAAUUGUUAGAUGAAGGUUCAGUCGGUGAGGGGGAACACCAAGGUUUUGAUACAAAGGUAGCUCUCUGGCUCCUCACUGCCCAAUUCUUGAAUAGCCUCAGAAAAGUAGCCUGAUAAUUAGUAGUCACUGACUUUUAAUGAUCUGAUCUCAUUCUAAUGGCACAACCCCAAAAUCUCAGGCAAGACCAGCAAUUCUCACCUCUCUGUGUUCUUUUAAGUAUGGAAACAAGGGCUGAUGAGAUGGAAGCACUCCUGGAAGCCUGACAAGCUCCACACAGUCCUACAGCGUUCCACCAUGUAAAAUCAGGCCUUCAUUUUGAACUUGGAAAUCUCCCCACUCGCAGGCAGUGGCAAUGCCAGCAAGCCACAGGUGGGCACCACAUGAGCAGAAUGAAGGUAGAUGCCUUGACUCAGAAUUGGUGGCUGUUUUAAAAGCUGGCCUUGCUUUGGACCAUUGUUGGGACUGUCUUCUUCAGCAAACAGUGAUCAUGAAACCAAAUUCAGCUUUCUUCAGGAAAAGGACAAAAACUGGGCUAGGAUGGUGCCUGGUCCAUGGUGGACAGUAACUGGUCUGUUUUGAAUGCAUGAAUUUUCAUCGUAGUUUUUGUGAUUGUGUUUAUGAAGACACUGGAGCAACAAUGUUCUGCAAUUCUAGAGAUCUUGAUGUGGUGGCAGCCUUGUAUCCAGUCCUAUGUAUGUACAUUUUGAUAUCUUACUGCCUUUUGCCAAAUAGGGCAAUAAACACCCCCCAAGAGCGCUAUCCAAUCAUAUACUCUGUAUUUGUUUCAGGUGAGCUUCCUGCAGGGCAACUUUGGCAUAUUCUCAGCAAACACAGAGUUGUUGGAUUUCACAUAAGGAGACUGUUAUCAUUUGGUCCUUGACAACUUUCAUAAACAGUCACUCUUAGCUUAACAAGCAAGUGUGUAACAGUUAAAAUUGGAAGAAAAAUAAGGCCAAAAUGGCAGCUUACUACACAACUUGCAUGCAUUCUAAAAUAAAGGAAAUAUGAAUAAAAGGUAACUUAUUCAGUGUCACUCGUACAUAUUUAUAGUUUAAAAAUUAGUCAAAGUUUAUGUCCUGAGGUUGUACCUACAGGAAGCCAGAUGUGCCUUCUGCACGUGACCUAAGACAGGCCUAGAGCAACUACUAGAUAAUUUCUCGCUCAUCCUCUACACCGUCGAUUGCGGCGGCUUUCUGAGGUGAGAGAAACUGACAGCACUAACUCUCCAGGGCAGAACUUUCCAGUCAAGUGGAUCAACG
RNAcentral lists this long non-coding RNA (1298 nucleotides) under Homo sapiens (human). RNAcentral's name for it is "HSALNT0040787". The record is from RNAcentral. Lineage: Eukaryota; Metazoa; Chordata; Mammalia; Primates; Hominidae.